GGAUUGGCGAGUUCGAAAGGCACCGGUCUCCAAAACCGGCGAUUCCAGGUUCGAGUCCUGGGUGCCCCG
Molecule: transfer RNA, 69 nt
Filed under: uncultured Solirubrobacterales bacterium
Lineage: Bacteria; Bacillati; Actinomycetota; Thermoleophilia; Solirubrobacterales
Description: tRNA-Trp-CCA
Rfam family: tRNA
About the family: Transfer RNA (tRNA) molecules are approximately 80 nucleotides in length. Their secondary structure includes four short double-helical elements and three loops (D, anti-codon, and T loops).
Source: RNAcentral